AAACGGUGGGUACUAGGUGUGGGGGACAUUCCACGUCUCCGUGCCGUAGCUAACGCAUUAAGUACCCCGCCUGGGGAGUACGGCCGCAAGGCUAAAACUCAAAGGAAUUGAUCCUGGCUCAGGACUAACGCUGGCGGCGUGCCUAACACAUGCAAGUCGUAACAAGGUAACCAGGUCUUGACAUCCCUACGAUUUCUAUGAAAGUAGGAAGUGCCUUUUAGGAACAGCGUAGAGACAGGUGGUGCAUGGUUGUCGUCAGCUCGUGUCGUGAGAUGUUGGGUUAAGUCCCGCAACGAGCGCAACCCUCGUCCAAUGUUGCCAGCGGGUUAUGCCGGGG
This 337-nucleotide ribosomal RNA is filed under the name uncultured Bacillota bacterium. Its description in RNAcentral is "bacterial SSU rRNA". It matches the Rfam family "Bacterial small subunit ribosomal RNA", at positions 804 to 1136 of the family's 1533-position model. Lineage: Bacteria; Bacillati; Bacillota. The record is from RNAcentral.